Molecule: ribosomal RNA, 304 nt
Filed under: uncultured bacterium
Lineage: Bacteria
Description: partial 16S ribosomal RNA
Rfam family: Bacterial small subunit ribosomal RNA
Source: RNAcentral
CAGCAGCCGCCGCGGGAAUACGAAGGGUGCAAGCGUUAAUCGGAAUUACUGGGCGUAAAGCGUGCGUAGGCGGCUUUUUAAGUCUGCUGUGAAAUCCCUGGGCUUAACCUGGGAAUGGCAGUGGAUACUGGCAAGCUAGAGUGUGUCAGAGGAUGGUAGAAUUCCCGGUGUAGCGGUGAAAUGCGUAGAGAUCGGGAGGAACAUCAGUGGCGAAGGCGGCCAUCUGGGACUACACUGACGCUGAGGUACGAAAGCGUGGGGAGCAAACAGGAUUAGAUACCCGAGUAGUCCCUGUCUCUUAUAC